UUGGUUCUUCGAUACCACCCUGACGUUUGUCCUGCUUCCUCCAAAGAUGAAUCCACGAAAAGGUUUUUGGAACUCCAAAUGGCUUACGAGACGCUUUCGGAUCCAAUUUCUCGUAAACUGUAUGAUUACGAAUUGGGUUUAGUUGGAGCUAGGAAUUAUUUUAUGGAAGAUAGAAUAUCGAAAUUUCCGAGAGAUGUGGAUUAAAGAAACGGUCUCAUGCUAGGAUGCAGAGGAGGCAAAAUAUGUACAGGUAGAAAUUGAAGGCUUUUGCAUUAAUUUUCUUUUAGAAGAAUAAAGCAUAGAUGUUGGAUGUUUAAGUCAGAUAUUUGUAUUAAUCAUAUUGUUAAUAUACAUUAAUUUCCAUUAUUAGUUAAUCGACAAUUAAGAACCUAUUUUUGUGCACUUAUUGGCGCCUCACUAAGGGAGUGGGGGACUUGAAAUUUAACGAACUUAAUUUUAUAUUGAGCAAAGUGGCAUUAAGACACCCAAAUUGCUAAUUCAUGGGCCUCUCCCAUAGAUUUAAUAAUCUGAACUUCAUUUUAUUAGUAUUAUCUUUUUAUCAUUGGAGCAAAGGUUAUAAGCUUUAUCUGAAAGUUCAUACUAAUGGGUUGUUUCAUGUUAAUGUAAUUCAGUGGGCAGUAUAUACCAUAAUAAAUUUCAAAUGUUCAUCUAGUUAAAAGUACCUCAUCUGGUACCUUCUAGAUUUGGAUAAAUAAUGUUUAUCCAGUUAAAAAUACCUCAUCUGGUACCUUCUUGCAUAUACCGUAAUAAAUUUCAAAUGUAACUCAUCUGGUACCUUCUAGAUUUGGUUCAAUAAUGUUUAUCUAGUUAGGACCUGGUUGUUUUUCUUUUUAUGGGUUUCACUCAUAUUUGAUCGGUUUAAAUCUUUUUAGAAUGUAUUAAAUGACUUUUGUUAAAAGUUUUAUAAAAUUAGUCUUUAUACAUUAGAUGAGUGAGUAAAAAAGUCUCUAUAUUAAAAUUGUACUUUUAAAUAUUUGUUUUGGUGUUUAUAUAUAAGGUAUAAUAAUAUAUUUAGCUCUUAACCUUUAAACAUUUAUUCAAUUUGACCCCUACAUUUUUAUUGGAAGUAAUUUUUUUUUAAACUAAUAAGCUAAAUAGUCAAAAAGGCUUUAAUAACAAAUUAAAAAAAUUUAAUUAAGCCAUUUUAAAUUUUUAAAAUUAUGAACAAAAUUUUAAAAAAAGUUAUAUAUUUUUUAAAUUAUAUAUUUUUAUUAAAAAUAACAGUACCGACUCAACAAAAGAGUAGGGGUCAAUUUUUUAAAAGAAAUCUUAUAACCAAUAGAUUUUAAUGGGUAGGUAUUGUUUUUUUUUUAACAAAAAUUUUAUAAUUUUAGAUUUUUUAUAACUUUUUUUUAUAAAUUUUGUUUAUAAUUUUUAUGAUUUUUAAAUAAUUUUUAAAUUUUAAAAGGGCUUAAUUGAUUUUUUUUAAAUUUGUUACUAAGGCCUUUUUUACCCUUUAGCCUAAUUAGUUUCAUAUUUUUCUAAUUUACUUCCAAUAAAGGAGUAGGGGUCAAAUUGAAUAAUUGUGUAAAGGUUGAGGACUAAAUUUGUUAUUAUACCUUAUAUAUAAAUAACAUAUUUUAACAAAGGGAUUAUUUUGCUCACUUAUCUAAUAUACAGGGACAAAUUUGCCUAUUUUUCAGUAGAAAGGCUAAAAUACAAUCCAAAGUUUAGUAUAGGGGGUUUUGUGGUACUUUUACUUAUGACUUUGUCAUUGUUUUUUCUUAUUUCACAUAAAAUCUUGGAUUACUGCAUUACUUUGUACUUGAGUUUGGAUUCAAUGUUUAAUUUAAUACUUAGACCAAAUGGUAUUAUGUGGCUCAAUGAAUGCUUUACACGUGCUCCAGUUAAAAAAAAAAGAAGCAUAAGUACUUAAUUGGGAUACAAAAAAGCUCAUGAACUGGAUUGAAAAACACAUAGGUAUCAAGUAUCAAAUUGAACAUCAAAGUCAAACUCAACUACUUAAUUGAGAUAAAAAAAAAACUCAAGUAUCAAAUUGAAAAACAUAUAGAUACCAAAGUCAACAAUAAAGCCAAACUUAGAUACUAAAUUGGAAUAAAAAAACUUAAAUACCAAAUUAAAUAUUGAAACUAAAUUCAGUUACCAAAUAGUAUAUUAAUGCUAAUAUAUUUUAUUAUGUUAUUCUUUUUGGUUCUUUUUGUAGAAAGUUUGUUUUCUCUGCUGCUAGUUUUUCCUAACGGGGAAACAUUUCAAUUUGGUUCAUUAAUUUGACUAAGUAAGGAAGUAAUAGAAGGAUAGUUUGUGGUAUAUACGAUCUGGUUUAGAUUGGUAAUAUGUUUGUGGUAUAUACGAUCUGGUUUAGAUUGGUAAUUAUGAUUUGGAUUUGAAGAAUUAACUGUUGAAAAAAUAAAUUGCAAAACAAAAUCUAUUAGCAUUUAUUAGAAAAUAAAUAAAUGAAUUAAGAAAUAAAAAAUUUACUAUGCCGUGGUAAAUCACUACUUUAGAAACGAAUUCACCUUGAUUAGUGUAAUCGUGUAGUGGACGUCGUCCCCCAAGGUUAACAUAGUGCUUCGAUAUUUGUACACCCAAAUAAGGAAGAUGAAACUCGAUUGGUGUUGCUCUUCUCAAGGAAACCACAGUAUGAUUAAUUCUUACUAUUCUUAGGGAAACCACAAUAUGAUUAAUUCCUAGAAAAGUUUGGAGGGGUCAUAGUCAGUUCUGCUUAAAACUCAAACUCCUAGACAGAAUUUUCUUUAAAGUGAUUGAGGGGAAAAACCGACAAAGUGUUUAAGAAAAUCGGAAAAGAAGAGGAGGAAAGAGCUUUUCAGAGAGCGUUGUGUUUUCUUU
This 2829-nucleotide long non-coding RNA is filed under the name Gossypium barbadense (sea-island cotton). RNAcentral describes it as "long non-coding RNA (GBAR_LNC001719)". The record is from RNAcentral. Lineage: Eukaryota; Viridiplantae; Streptophyta; Magnoliopsida; Malvales; Malvaceae.